CCUACGGGCGGCAGCAGUGAGGAAUAUUGGUCAAUGGACGCAAGUCUGAACCAGCCAUGCCGCGUGCAGGAAGACGGCUCUAUGAGUUGUAAACUGCUUUUGUACGAGGGUAAACGCAGAUACGCGUAUCUGUCUGAAAGUAUCGUACGAAUAAGGAUCGGCUAACUCCGUGCCAGCAGCCGCGGUAAUACGGAGGAUUCAAGCGUUAUCCGGAUUUAUUGGGUUUAAAGGGUGCGUAGGCGGUCGGAUAAGUUAGAGGUGAAAUCCCGAGGCUCAACUUCGGAAUUGCCUCUGAUACUGUUAGGCUAGAGAGUAGUUGCGGUAGGCAGAAUGUAUGGUGUAGCGGUGAAAUGCUUAGAGAUCAUACAGAACACCGAUUGCGAAGGCAGCUUACCAAGCUACGUCUGACGUUGAGGCACGAAAGCGUGGGGAGCAAACAGGAUUAGAUACUCGAGUAGUC
Molecule: ribosomal RNA, 460 nt
Filed under: uncultured bacterium
Lineage: Bacteria
Description: partial 16S ribosomal RNA
Rfam family: Bacterial small subunit ribosomal RNA
Source: RNAcentral